Molecule: long non-coding RNA, 1207 nt
Filed under: Marmota monax (woodchuck)
Lineage: Eukaryota; Metazoa; Chordata; Mammalia; Rodentia; Sciuridae
Source: RNAcentral
GUUGGACACAAUAUUUUAUUUAUUUUUAUGUGGUGCUGAGGAUCAAACCCAGGGCCUGGUACAUGCUAGGUGAGCACUCUACCACUGAGCCACAACCCCAGCCCAUACAGGUAGUUUUUUAUUCUGAGGACUGAGUACAAGCUCUGGAGCCAGCCUGCCACUUUCCAGCUGUGCAAUCACAGGAAAUUAGUAUGUGUUUUCAGUUUUCUCAUUCAUAAAAUUGGUGUAAUACCUCUUAGGAUGUCAGAUACAGAUUGGGACUUAUGAAGAUACCUUAUAGAAGCUGCAGCAUUUGGUCAAAGGAAGUACCAGCCUACCAGGAUCUACAGGGAAGAAAGUUAGGGAAUCAGCAUUCCUCUUUUAUUCUUUUUCCUCUGGGAUCUACUGCUGAUGCCCUGUAUUAGCCAAAUCUACUGGAAGCCAGAGGAACAAAGGAGUCUUUUGACAUGGUUAGCAUAGCAAUUUCCUUGGACACAAAGCAGACUUCAGAAGUAUGGAGGUGAAUCUGGAAAGACAAAGGGAGAUCUCCACCACAGCACUUUCUUCAAUGUGCCAGGUAUCUCUCUUGUUCAUCCUCCACACAGAGGAAAAAACAAAACAAAACAACCCCUACUAUUUAGCAAGGGUCAAUAAGGGAUAGAAGGUAUGUGCAGUUGGACAGAGGAUCUUAGGAUCUGCUUAAGUGGAAUCCAACAAAUUAAUUCAACUACUCCCUUUCACCCUUAGGGAUGUAUCUAGUACCAACUCUUAUGUAGUGUAAGUUCAAUUAAUUUUUGCCUGUUUCUCAUGACUCACAAUGAUGCACUUAGUUACUGCAUUAUUUAAACUAAUUACCCACUUACUUACCACCUUCCAAAUUGUCAUUGCUUUUGUUUUGUUGCUUUUUUUGUUUUUAAUUGCUUUCCUAUUCUGUCAGUACCUGUGGGUUACAGUUACUAUAGCUGGAUAGGGAUUACCAGAAAACUCAGUGGCAUAAAGCAGCCAUUUGAUGUGCUCAUGGAUUCCAUGAAAGGCAUAGCAGGGUUCCAUAGCUGAGGAAACUCAGAAGAACUGGAAGCUGGCAAAGUGUGUGGGGGUGUCUGUGGGUAACUCUAUUUAUGCUUUUCCUCAUGGUCGUUCCAGUAUGGUGGCUUUAGGGUAGCAAGACUUCCUAUGUGCCAGCUCAGGCUCCCAAAGUGCAUGUCCCAGGAGAAAGCCAGGGAGAAGC